CACUACAAGUUCACUUGAAUCUGUCUGCGCUGUAUUCGUCCGCUGAAGAGUGAAGACGAGCCGAACACCUUUUCCUACUGUCGCCUCCCAUCUUUGAGCCCGCAUGCAGAUUGUGGUAAACAAAACUAGGCAACUGCCAAUGGGCAGAAUGAAGACGAGCCACUAAGAAGACUCGGCCAGUAAUGGGAUUUUCGCACUAUUUAUAAAGGCGGUAGCAGCAAGACACAUGUGUUGACAAUGACAUCCACUGGAACAAUGCCAGGCUGAACAUCUGGACCAAGAGUCGCCAUCUGCUGGACGGGAGAUGAAAACCUCUCCUUCUGGAUCCUGGUCAUGUAGAUGACGUCGGUAUCAGGCAGCGCUUCCUCAAUACUCUCAAACUCCUCCUGCAAACAGGCACAAUACCCGACAUGACCUGAGAGCCUGAGUAAUCAAACUCGCCAGCCUGGCCAAUGGACAAUCCUCCAGAGCCAAGGAUGAGGACCUUCUUUGGUCGGGACACCUUUUCAGGCUUCAAGGAACCCAAGUGUUUGCGCCGAUGACCAAGGAAAGCAGCUGGUGUCCGAGGCAGAUACCAAAAACCGGCUUGGGGUUAUCCACGCACACCACCUUCCUCACGUUGUUGAUGGUGGCCUGGCAUAGCUGUGGAUCUCCUGGACCGUUGCUGAUGAAUAAACCAUCAAAUUCUGGAGAGAACAAAAGAGAAAUUCACCAUAAAACUAAUCCAGAUGUCAUCUCAGGACGUUCAAUCAAUCGCAACUGGACUGUUUGGUUUGUCUUAGAAGACCUUUUGCUCCUCAUCCGAUCAUCAGUUCACGUUCAUAGACUUAGAUUGGUCAGAUUUAGUCUGGCGGCUAGUGCCAAUACCUCAGUAGGCUUCAUCAGUUCAUGCUCAUAGACUUAGAUUGGUCAGAUUUAGUCUAGCGACUGGUGCCAAAACCCAAAAUAUUUAUACUCCAAAACCAGGAGGGUGUGCCUGGGCAAAGAUGGUUUCACCCUAUCGUAGUGAGAAAAAACACAGUUUAGUUGCAAACGAGCAAUCCUACAGCCAAACCCAACGACACUCGAAGUGUAAUUUCCCCUUGUUAGAUUUGAGGUAUUGUGUGCCACAAUGAUCGCUAUGCACAGUCCAGUUACGAUCGAUUGAACAUCUUGAGAUUAAAAUGACCUGGAUGAAUGAGAACAUUCAUCGACAUAAUCUAGAUGUCAA
This is a long non-coding RNA of Nerophis ophidion (straightnose pipefish), 1210 nucleotides long. RefSeq lists it as uncharacterized. Lineage: Eukaryota; Metazoa; Chordata; Actinopteri; Syngnathiformes; Syngnathidae. The record is from RefSeq and is a predicted model, not a curated record. The transcript is spliced from 5 exons.